This 668-nucleotide ribosomal RNA is filed under the name Butyriboletus pseudoregius. RNAcentral's name for it is "eukaryotic LSU rRNA". It matches the Rfam family "Eukaryotic large subunit ribosomal RNA", at positions 1 to 664 of the family's 3401-position model. The record is from RNAcentral. Lineage: Eukaryota; Fungi; Basidiomycota; Agaricomycetes; Boletales; Boletaceae.
UUGACCUCAAAUCAGGUAGGACUACCCGCUGAACUUAAGCAUAUCAAUAAGCGGAGGAAAAGAAACUAACAAGGAUUCCCCUAGUAACUGCGAGUGAAGCGGGAAGAGCUCAAAUUUUGAAUCUGGCAGUCCUUGGCUGUCCGAGUUGUAAUCUAGAGAAGUGUUUUCCGCGCUGGACCGUGUAUAAGUCUCCUGGAAGGGAGCGUCAUAGAGGGUGAGAAUCCCGUCUUUGACACGGACCNNNNAGUGCUAUGUGAUGCGCUCUCGACGAGUCGAGUUGUUUGGGAAUGCAGCUCAAAACGGGUGGUAAACUCCAUCUAAAGCUAAAUACAGGCGAGAGACCGAUAGCGAACAAGUACCGUGAGGGAAAGAUGAAAAGAACUUUGGAAAGAGAGUUAAACAGUACGUGAAAUUGCUGAAAGGGAAACGCUUGAUGUCAGUCGCGUUGGCUGGGGAUCAACCUUGCUUCUCGCUGGGUGUACUUCCCGGUCGACGGGUCAGCAUCAGUUUCGAUUGCUGUACAAGGAUGAGGGGAACGUGGCACUCCCCGGAGUGUGUUAUAGCCUUUCAUCGUAUGCAGCGGUUGGGACUGAGGAGCUCAGCACGGCUUCUCGCUUGUGCUCAGGAUGCUGGCAUAAUGGCCUUAAGCGACCCGUCUUGAAACACGG